GCCCCCAUAGCUCAGGUGGAUAGAGCACAGGUUUCCUAAACCUGGUGCCGCAGGUUCGAAUCCUGCUGGGGGUA
RNAcentral lists this transfer RNA (74 nucleotides) under Chitinivibrionales bacterium. RNAcentral's name for it is "tRNA-Arg". It matches the Rfam family "tRNA". Rfam says of the family: Transfer RNA (tRNA) molecules are approximately 80 nucleotides in length. The record is from RNAcentral. Lineage: Bacteria; Pseudomonadati; Fibrobacterota; Chitinivibrionia; Chitinivibrionales.